GAUGAACGCUGGCGGCGUGCCUAAUACAUGCAAGUCGAGCGAACAGACGAGGAGCUUGCUCCUCUGACGUUAGCGGCGGACGGGUGAGUAACACGUGGAUAACCUACCUAUAAGACUGGGAUAACUUCGGGAAACCGGAGCUAAUACCGGAUAAUAUAUUGAACCGCAUGGUUUAAUAGUGAAAGACGGUUUUGCUGUUACUUAUAGAUGGAUCCGCGCCGCAUUAGCUAGUUGGUAAGGUAACGGCUUACCAAGGCAACGAUGCGUAGCCGACCUGAGAGGGUGAUCGGCCACACUGGAACUGAGACACGGUCCAGACUCCUACGGGAGGCAGCAGUAGGGAAUCUUCCGCAAUGGGCGAAAGCUUGACGGAGCAACGCCGCGUGAGUGAUGAAGGUCUUCGGAUCGUAAAACUCUGUUAUUAGGGAAGAACAAAUGUGUAAGUAACUAUGCACGUCUUGACGGUACCUAAUCAGAAAGCCACGGCUAACUACGUG
RNAcentral lists this ribosomal RNA (497 nucleotides) under uncultured bacterium. RNAcentral's name for it is "partial 16S ribosomal RNA". It matches the Rfam family "Bacterial small subunit ribosomal RNA", at positions 28 to 507 of the family's 1533-position model. The record is from RNAcentral.